This is a non-coding RNA of Chlorocebus sabaeus (green monkey), 6316 nucleotides long. NCBI's taxonomy places the organism in Eukaryota, Metazoa, Chordata, Mammalia, Primates, Cercopithecidae. The record is from RefSeq and is a predicted model, not a curated record.
CCGCCUCAGCCUCCCAACGUGCUGGGAUUACCGGUGUGAGCUACUGUACCUGACCUUCUUUUUUAAGUUUUAAUUUGCUUGUGCUGCCAGAGGAAAAAUGGCUGGGUUGCCUGUGUCUUAAACUCUUAUUUCUAUAGGCUGCACACUCUUUCUCCCCAAAAUCUCUGCUGCAAGUGACCUUGUCAAACAAAAGUGUGGAAUAAUGGGAGGCAGCCCAGUGAUGCUGGGUCAUUUUUAAGUAGUUGUUUGCUACUGUCAGAACAAAGGCAAAUCAGAGUUGCAUUAAAGGGAUAUGACACAGUGAACAACUGCCGUCCCGCUUCCCUAAUAAUACUUGUCUUAUAGUGUUGCGUUGAAAACUGAGUGGCUGGAGUAGUUAUUCGUAUGGGUUUGGGAUGAAAAAUGUAUAGGAAAAUAAAGAUCUAUUUCUGUCAUUUAACAAAAUACAGAAUUUCAGAAUUUAGGAAGCAAAAUUUGAUUAAAACAGCUUUCUAAUGCUUUUCAGUGACAGAAACAUUAGGGGUAUGUUAUAUUCCAUUAGAUUGUUAAUAGCAUUGUUCAUUGUUAUGUAGGAUUUUUAACUGUGAUAUGUUUGAAUCUAUUUAUAUUGUACCAUGUUGUGACCAGAUUCUUGAUGUACUUGGAUAAAUUUGGAACAACAGUUAAAUCUUACUCUUUAAAAUACUAAUUAAGUGUAGCACUCUUCUUACAUGUCCAUAAUGGAAAAACACUUGCCUUUUAUUUGUAGCUUGAUAUGUAGUCUGUCCUUUUGUUAUUGUUUUUGGAGGGGGCUUAGGGAUUGUGUGUGACUUAGGUGCUACUAUGAAGUGGAAAGCAUCAGCUGUAUCUGGCAUUUGCAUUUUUAUAAUCAUUGCUUUCAAAAUGUUCCAGAGAGGUACAUUUUCCUCCACCCCGUCUCUCUAAUGCACAGUUAAUAGUAUGUCCUUCACUUGAACUUUUUCCCUUAUAAAUCAAUUAUGCAUUUGCUAUAGUAGUUCAACUUUUUAAAGUGCAUAAGGAGAAUACUGUAUAAAAAGUGCUUGUAAAACAAGUCUACUUCUAAGAUUCUAAACCUUGAGAAUUAUCAUGUUUUGGUUUUUCAAUAAAUGGUUAAUGUAUUGUAAAAAGUUGGACAUUUUACCACAGUUACCAUACUUGAGCUAAUUUUUAGAAUAUUUUUAAAAGAGUUAUCAGUGCUUUAUAUUUCAUAUAAGGCUUUAUAUGAAAUAAAUACAUUAAAAAUGUAGAGUUUUUGAUGCCUGGUUGAAAGUGGAAUUAAGAUUGGUUUUAUUAUGUGCUUUGAAUGUAUUUCUGAAAUAUUUUUGAAGAGGAUACUUGUAAGUUAAAUACCUUUUAUCAUUUAUUUUUAUCAUAAUUUUAUAUAUACUCUGUCAUGAAAUAAUACUAAAGAAUCCCAAUAUUUGUUUUUAUGAUAUAUCUUUACAUUGUAAUCUGUAGUAUUUUAAUUUCCUAUAAACCUCUUAAUAGUACUAGACAAUAUGUGACCUUUUAUACUCAUUCUAUGUGCUAUAAAAUUACUGUUUCCUCUGAUUCUAUUAAAUCCUUUCAAACCACUAGAGAACUCCCUGAUUUGUACUUAACAGAGCUUUUCAUGUAUUAACGAGUUACCUGGCUAUCAAUAAGUACUUGUUUAACUAGAGUGACUAAGUUAAAGACUUGUAGAAGUUAGAAAGGGCUUUCUGAAGCUAAUAAUCCAACACCCUAAUUUGUGACUCUAAGGAUCAGAUGCAGAGUAGUUCAAGACUUGAUGUUUUUGUUCAGGGUAAGGUAGUAAUUUAGUGACAGAAUCCAGGUAACUCAAAUCCUCAAACUAGAGAAAAACUAUUAAGAUUUCUUGACAUUUAUUGUUAUUCCCUACCUUUAGCUUUUACACAGCUAAAUCUACUUGUGGAAGUUCAGCUUCAAAAACUUUUAGCCAUAGUUUCCAAGCUGUGGACUGUGGCUGAGGUUUAUCAACAGCCUCGGUUUUCUAAUUCUCUGAGUGCUCAUCUUAACCACUCCUGCCCAACCCCUCAUUCUACAAUAUUGAGCCUUAACUCCUAUUCCUGUCUCCCUGGCCAUCCUUUGUAAUAGUUUUGUAUUGAAGUGUCCAUGAAUUAACAUUUUGUUUUAAUAGAUAUUCUCACUUCAAGGUGGCAUAAAGUAGUAUAUAUUUCUCAGGAUCGACUUUCCCACUUAAGAAUAUUUGCCUUCACCUCUGUGCAUUAAAAUUUAUUGCUGCGAUUGACAUGACUAAGGUGGCAUAACAUAGUGCUGUGAGCAUAAUCUAGAGCUAGUCUGAAUAAGUCUGAAUCACAGUUCUUCUAUUCAUAACCUUGGGCCACUUAACCUCUCUUGCUUUGUUUUACAUAUCUUUAAAAUGAGGAUUAAAAUAUUUGCUAUUAGGAGGAUUAAAGGAAUUAUAAUAUUAUUCAUAAAGUACUGAGAAUCUUGCCUGAUAUGUAUAGUAAGAUGCUACAUCAGUGUUAAGUCAUGGAAGGAACCAGUAAAUUGUUUCAGUAUUUUAUUGUGUGUGUACUUAGGGUUCUGGAGAUACUCAAAGAACAACACACAUUCCUAGUUUGACCUGAAUGAACCAGGAAUACUUAAUUAUGUAGCGUGUAUCACAUUUAUUUUUAGAGCCACAUUUUACUGAAAUUAAACCUAGGAACAAUACAUGCAAAACAUGGCUUGCUUUUUUUUUUUUUUUUUUGGUGGUUGUUUGCUUUAAAAACGUUGCUUUGUUAAAAAAUAAAAAUAAAAGCUCUUGGUAUUUUUGGGAAGGCAAGUUAGAGAUAGACCUUAAAAGAAACCUAGCUACUGCCAUUUAUAGGUAGUUAUAUGGAUACCUUACCUUUAGAAGUUAUUGAGUGUGACUUAUCUGCUUAAUAGCAAUUAAAUCCGUUUAAAAUGUUUACCAGGUGUUAAUCAUAAGUCAGGGUUGACAUAGCCAGUUUAAUCUUACUUGAAAGAAAAAUCUCAGUAAAUUCAUGUUUACAGAUUUUUUAAAAACUGGCUACGAAUGUUUAUUAUAGAAAUCCAUAAUUUUCCGUUUAUUUGCUAUACUAGAAUACUAUGCAGUUGUAAUGAAUAAGCAUUUAUAGUUUCUGCUCCUAAAAAUUGGACUACAGUUUCGUGAGUUUACUCUCAUCUGGUAAGCUUUCCAGAGAUUCAGGGAAGCCAUAGCUUUCCAAGUAUGCAAAUCUUUCAUGUUCAAAGCACUUCCCUCAGGCACAAGAAGAAUAUUUCAGUGACAUGCUUUGCUCUUUUCCCUUAAUGUAUCUAACAUGAAGGAGUUUCUCAUUAGGUACACAGCUUAUGUACUUACUGUAGGAUCCACAUUUAUACAUACAGAGAAAUUACCCAUAAUUAAGAUCAGAUAUCUAUUUAUUAAUUAAUUUGACAUUCCUGUAAUAAUUUAUUGGUAAAUAAAUAUCUCUUAACUCAUUGAAUGUGGAUGGCAUAUAUUUUUGGAAAAUGUUUCAAAAUACAUGAAAAAAAUAGCAACCUGAGAAAUUUAAGUUACUGUGUUUACAUUUUUGAAAUCACAUGUUUGAAAGGUAUUUAUGAUGGGGACAGCUUAUCUAUGUUUAAAUAGAUGUUGAAGAAAUUAUAUGAGAAGAAUUGAUAGAAAGUUUUAUUUUUAAUUGUUUGCUUUGUAAUAUAUUUCUUGGGUGAGUGUAAAAAGUAGAUUUCAGAAGAUUUAUUUAUACUAUCAAUGCAUGUUUUAAAAUGCUGUUGUUUGAGUUGUAAAUAAAUAAUGAAAAAGGCAUUUUACGUGGCAUUGAAUCAAUCUGUUUCAGUUGUUCACCCUGGAUUUCUUUCAUUUAGUCAUCUUCUUACUGCAAAGGAGGACAUUUGUUCAUUACUUUGCCUAAAUAAUACUAACAUACUAGCAGAUGGUCACUUUCCAACUGGUUUGUCUUCAGAAAAGAAAUUAAAAUAUUAUAGUGCCAGAGAGAGAUAUUAUAAUGCGUCCCUGUCAAAUUAACAGGUCAUUCUUUUCAACUGUUUUAUAACUGCAAAAUAGCUCAAUGUCACAUAAAAGGCUAAAAGCUAGAGCAAAUGGUAUCAUGGGAAAUAUGAAAUAAACACAGUGUAGUGAUUUAUAGUCUUUUCUUGAACACACUAGGAAUAUUUCUUUUCUAAAAAGACACAAAUUAUAUGCUAUGGUAGUAUUUUGGUUGUACUGGAUUCUAGUUUAAUUAGUUCAUAUCAAAAGAUGGCAUUUGUUUUAAAACAUGUGUAUACAUUCUGAAAGAAGAUACUUCCCCCAAAACAUUAAAAAAUACCUUGAAUAUAUUUUUAAACGAAUAUGUUAGCCUAGCAAACAAUGAAAUGAAAACCAAAUAUGAAAAUAAUGUAUCUUCUUCCUGCCCUUUAAUGAAUGAUCUGUAACUCUGAUAAAAAGAUUAGUUUAGAGACUAUUGAAUUAUUUUAAUUCUAGGACCAGACUGAAAGUAGCAUUGUACAUUUAGAAAUGCAACAUAUAAAUGAGUAGAAGUGGAUCCCUAUGUGAUUGGGAAAUAAGCUGGAGAAACUGAAGUAUGCUUAAAACACAGAGUAAUUAGCGAGCAAGCUCAGGAAAAAUAAAUCUAAGAAUACUUAGAAGUAGUGUUUGAAGAACUAGAAUCAUCACAGUUUAAAUUAUUUGUUUUGAACUUUCUCUGCCACUGAAUUGCUGUGUAUCUUUGGGCAGUCACUUAGAUCAUUUCCCCAACUAGAACAUUAGCAAGUUGGCUUAGACAGCUCUUAAGUCCUUUUUUUGAAGUGUUAUAGCUAUUUGGUUGGUGAUCAAUUAAAAAAAAAAAAAAGUAUUUGCCUAAGUGAGCUAGGUGGAUUUAUAAUGAGAAAGAAGGAAGUUAUUAUAAUGAGUAUUCUUUAUAAUAUUAUUUAUUCUUCUGAAAAAAUCAAGUGAUAAUAGAAACCACAAUAUAAAAUAUCUGAAUUCGAUUUGCAUUCCUCCUAAUUACCAGCACUGUGAACAAAAACAGGUCGUUUAGGUCAUCAUUGUGAGCCCACUAUCAGCGGCCAGCGCGGGCGCUGCGGGAGACCGUGGGGCCUGCAGUGGCCGCCCUCUCAGGAGCCACCAUGUUAGUGGCUUCUGGACUGAGCGAGGAAGAGGAGGCUCUGCAGAAGAAAUUGAACAAACUCAAGAAAAAGAAAAAGGCAUUGCUGACUCUGAAGAAGCAAAGUAGCAGCAGCACAACCAGCCAAGGCGGUGUCAAAUGCUCACUAUCAGAGCAGCCUGUCGUGGACACAGCCACAGCAACAGAGCAGGCAAAGCAGCUGGUGAAGUCAGGAGCCAUCAGUGUCAUCAAGGCUGAGACCAAGAACUCAGGCUUCAAGCGUUCUCGAACCCUUGAGGGGAAGUUAAAGGACCCCGAGAAGGGACCAGUCCCCACUUUCCAGCCGUUCCAGAGGAGAGUAUCUGCUGCUGAUGACCUGCAAGAGUCAUCCAGACGUCUCUAGAGGAAAUCUCUGUAUGAAAGCUUUGUGUCUUCUAGUGAUCGACUUAGAGAACUAGGGCCAGAUGGAGAAGAGGCAGAGGGCCCAGGGGCUGGUGAUGGUCCCCUCGAAGCUUUGACUGGGGCUAUGAAGAACGCAGUGGUGGCCACUCCUCAGCCUCCCCUCCCCGAAGCCGCAACCAUGAGAGGAACCGGGACAGAGACCGAGAUCGGGAGCGGGAUCGAGACUGGGAUCGAGACAGAGACCGAGGGCAGGACAGGGAUCGGGAUCGGGAUCGAGAUCGAGACCGGGAACCGGACAGGGAUCGGGAUCCGGAGCAGCAUUGCGACCGAGACCGAAAGGGUCCUUUCCGCAGGUCGGACUCAUUCCUUGAAUGGCGAGCCCCUAGGAAAGGGAAUACUCUCUAUGUAUGUGGAGAAGACUUGAUGCCUACCAUUCUCUGUGGGGCCUUCUUUCCUUUUGGAAACAUCAUUGACCUCUCCAUGGAUUCACCCAGAAACUGUGCCUUCGUCACCUAUGAAAAGAUGGAGUCAGCAGAUCAGGCGGUUGCUGAGCUCAAUGGGACAUAGGUGGAGUCUGUACAGCUCAAAGUCAACAUAGCCUGGAAACAGCCCAUGCUGGAUGCCGCUACUGGCAAGUCUGUCUGGGGCUCCCUUGCUGUCCAGAACAGCCCUAAGGGUUGCCACCGGGACAAGAGGACCCAGAUUGUCUAGAGUGAUGACGUCUACAAGGAAAACCUUGUGGAUGGCUUCUAGGGAACAGAGCUGGAUUCCUUGUGCCUCAUAUGCCCCAAUGCUGGUCUCAGUAAAACACUGAUGUGGAAGCUUAAAAAAAAACAAACAAAAAA